CAGACUAGUCUUAAUAGUUAGGGUUUUCAUUUACAUUGAAAAUUAUUUUGUGCGAAUCAAUAUAGUUUGA
Molecule: transfer RNA, 70 nt
Filed under: Ischnoptera sp. B084
Lineage: Eukaryota; Metazoa; Arthropoda; Insecta; Blattodea; Blattellidae
Description: tRNA-Val
Source: RNAcentral